Molecule: ribosomal RNA, 253 nt
Filed under: uncultured bacterium
Lineage: Bacteria
Description: partial 16S ribosomal RNA
Rfam family: Bacterial small subunit ribosomal RNA
Source: RNAcentral
GACGUAGGGCGCGAGCGUUGUCCGGAUUUAUUGGGCGUAAAGAGCUCGUAGGCGGCUUGUUGCGUCAGCUGUGAAAACCCGCAGCUCAACUGUGGGCUUGCAGCUGAUACGGGCAGGCUUGAGUUCGGUAGGGGAGACUGGAAUUCCUGGUGUAGCGGUGAAAUGCGCAGAUAUCAGGAGGAACACCGGUGGCGAAGGCGGGUCCCUGGACCGACACUGACGCUGAGGAGCGAAAGCCAGGGGAGCAAACGGG